ACUCCAACGGGAGGCAGCAGUGAGGGAAUAUUGGUCAAUGGGCGCAAGCCUGAACCAGCCAUGUCGCGUGCAGGAAGACUGCCCUAUGGGUUGUAAACUGCUUUUAUAUGGGAAGAAUGUGAGCUACGAGUAGCUUUUUGCCGGUACCAUAUGAAUAAGCAUCGGCUAACUCCGUGCCAGCAGCCGCGGUAAUACGGAGGAUGCAAGCGUUAUCCGGAUUCAUUGGGGUUUAAAGGGUGCGUAGGCGGAAUAGUAAGUCAGGGGUGAAAGUUUGCGGCUCAACCGUAAAAUUGCCUUUGAUACUGUUAUUCUUGAGUACAUUUGAGGUAGGCGGAAUGUGUUGUGUAGCGGUGAAAUGCUUAGAUAUAACACAGAACACCGAUUGCGAAGGCAGCUUACUAAACUGUAACUGACGCUGAUGCACGAAAGCGUGGGGAUCGAACAGGAUUAGAUACCCUGGUAGCACAGAG
This 470-nucleotide ribosomal RNA is filed under the name uncultured bacterium. RNAcentral describes it as "bacterial SSU rRNA". It matches the Rfam family "Bacterial small subunit ribosomal RNA", at positions 335 to 799 of the family's 1533-position model. The record is from RNAcentral.